This 371-nucleotide ribosomal RNA is filed under the name uncultured organism. RNAcentral's name for it is "partial 16S ribosomal RNA". It matches the Rfam family "Bacterial small subunit ribosomal RNA", at positions 527 to 896 of the family's 1533-position model. The record is from RNAcentral.
GUAGGUGGCAAGCGUUGUCCGGAAUUAUUGGGCGUAAAGCGCGCGCAGGCGGUUCUUUAAGUCUGAUGUGAAAGCCCACGGCUCAACCGUGGAGGGUCAUUGGAAACUGGAGAACUUGAGUACAGAAGAGGAAAGCGGAAUUCCACGUGUAGCGGUGAAAUGCGUAGAGAUGUGGAGGAACACCAGUGGCGAAGGCGGCUUUCUGGUCUGUAACUGACGCUGAGGCGCGAAAGCGUGGGGGGAGCAAACAGGAUUAGAUACCUGGUAGUCCACGCCGUAAACGAUGAGUGCUAAGUGUUAGGGGGUUUCCGCCCCUUAGUGCUGCAGCUAACGCAUUAAGCACUCCGCCUGGGAGUACGGCCGCAAGGCUG